Molecule: ribosomal RNA, 1322 nt
Filed under: metagenome
Description: bacterial LSU rRNA
Rfam family: Bacterial large subunit ribosomal RNA
Source: RNAcentral
AGUGGAUGGGGAGCAACCUAGUUGUGCGUGUGUAAAGGUAGUGCCAAGAAAAGCGGUGAUCAUGAUGAAAAUCAAUUCCCGGUACCCGAAACCGACACAGGUGGGCAUAGAGAAUACUAAGGGGCGCGAGGUAACUCUCUCCAAGGAACUCGGCAAAAUGACCCCGUAACUUAGGGAGAAGGGGUGCCACCGAGAGGUGGUCGCAGUGAAGAGGCCCAGGCGACUGUUUAGCAAAAACAUAGGUCUCUGCAAACUCGAAAGAGGAGGUAUAGGGGCUGACGCCUGCCCAGUGCCGGAAGGUUAAAGAAGUUGGUCAGUCUUAGGAUAAAGCUAGCGACUAAGCCCCGGUGAACGGCGGCCGUAACUAUAACGGUCCUAAGGUAGCGAAAUUCCUUGUCGGGUAAGUUCCGACCCGCACGAAAGGCGUAACGAUCUGGGCGCUGUCUCGGAGAGAGGCUCGGCGAAAUAGGAUUGUCUGUGAAGAUACGGACUACCUGCAUUUGGACAGAAAGACCCUAUGAAGCUUUACUAUAGCUUGGAAUUGUGUUCGGGCUUCCUGUGCGCAGGAUAGGUGGGAGGCGAAGAAGGUAUUCUUGUGGGGAUACUGGAGCAAACGGUGAGAUACCACUCUCAGGAGGCUAGAAUUCUAACUUAAUUAAGGACAGUUUCAGGUGGGUAGUUUGACUGGGGCGGUCGCCUCCAAAAAGGUAACGGAGGCGUACAAAGGUUCCCUCAGACUGGUUGGAAAUCAGUCGCAGAGUGCAAAGGCAGAAGGGAGCUUGACUGCGAGAAGUACAGUUCGAGCAGGGUGGAAACACGGUCUUAGUGAUCCGACGGUGCUGUGUGGAAGGGCCGUCGCUCAACGGAUAAAAGUUACUCUAGGAUAACAGGCUGAUCUCCCCCAAGAGUUCACAUCGACGGGGAGGUUUGGCACCUCGAUGUCGGCUCAUCGCAACCUGGGGCGGAAGUACGUCCCAAGGGUUGGGCUGUUCGCCCAUUAAAGCGGUACGUGAGCUGGGUUCAGAACGUCGUGAGACAGUUCGGUCCAUAUCCGAUGUAGGCGUGAGAAUAUUGAGAGGAGCCUUCCUUAGUACGAGAGGACCGGGAAGGACGCACCGCUGGUGUACCUGUUAUGAUGCCAAUUGUAAACGCAGGGUAGCCAAGUGCGGAGAGGAUAACCGCUGAAAGCAUCUAAGUGGGAAGCCCACCUCAAGAUGAGUAUUCUGGUGUAAGGUCACGGGAAGACGACCCGUAAAUAGGCACGAGGUGGAAGUGCAGAGAUGUAUGAAGCCGAAGUGUACUAAUAGACCGUCGGCUUGACC